UGGGAAAUUUUGGACAAUGGGGGAAACCCUGAUCCAGCCAUCCCGCGUGUGCGAUGAAGGCCUUCGGGUUGUAAAGCACUUUUGGCAGGAAAGAAACGUCGCGGGUUAAUACCCCGCGAAACUGACGGUACCUGCAGAAUAAGCACCGGCUAACUACGUGCCAGCAGCCGCGGUAAUACGUAGGGUGCAAGCGUUAAUCGGAAUUACUGGGCGUAAAGCGUGCGCAGGCGGUUCGGAAAGAAAGAUGUGAAAUCCCAGAGCUUAACUUUGGAACUGCAUUUUUAACUACCGGGCUAGAGUGUGUCAGAGGGAGGUGGAAUUCCGCGUGUAGCAGUGAAAUGCGUAGAUAUGCGGAGGAACACCGAUGGCGAAGGCAGCCUCCUGGGAUAACACUGACGCUCAUGCACGAAAGCGUGGGGAGCAAACAGGAUUAGAUACCCUGGUAGUCCACGCCCUAAACGAUGUCAACUAGCUGUUGGGGCCUUCGGGCCUUGGUAGCGCAGCUAACGCGUGAAGUUGACCGCCUGGGGAGUACGGUC
This 539-nucleotide ribosomal RNA is filed under the name uncultured bacterium. RNAcentral's name for it is "partial 16S ribosomal RNA". It matches the Rfam family "Bacterial small subunit ribosomal RNA", at positions 355 to 887 of the family's 1533-position model. The record is from RNAcentral.